GUUACAGAUAGCUCAUUUGUUAGAAUGUGAGACUCUUAAUCUCGGGCUUAUGGGUUCAAGCCCCAUGUUGGGCA
Non-coding RNA from Podarcis lilfordi (Lilford's wall lizard), 74 nucleotides. Lineage: Eukaryota; Metazoa; Chordata; Lepidosauria; Squamata; Lacertidae. The record is from the annotation of a GenBank genome assembly.